GGUUAAGCGACUAAGCGUACACGGUGGAUGCCCUGGCAGUCAGAGGCGAUGAAGGGCGUGCUAAUCUGCGAUAAGCGCCGGUAAGGUGAUAUGAACCGUUAUAACCGGCGAUACCCGAAUGGGGAAACCCAGUGUGAUUCGUCACACUAUCAUUAACUGAAUCCAUAGGUUAAUGAGGCGAACCGGGGGAACUGAAACAUCUAAGUACCCCGAGGAAAAGAAAUCAACCGAGAUUCCCCCAGUAGCGGCGAGCGAACGGGGAGGAGCCCAGAGCCUGAAUCAGCAUGUGUGUUAGUGGAAGCGUCUGGAAAGGCGCGCGAUACAGGGUGACAGCCCCGUACACAAAAGCGCAUGUGCUGUGAGCUCGAUGAGUAGGGCGGGACACGUGGUAUCCUGUCUGAAUAUGGGGGGACCAUCCUCCAAGGCUAAAUACUCCUGACUGACCGAUAGUGAACCAGUACCGUGAGGGAAAGGCGAAAAGAACCCCGGCGAGGGGAGUGAAAAAGAACCUGAAACCGUGUACGUACAAGCAGUGGGAGCACCCUUUGGGGUGUGACUGCGUACCUUUUGUAUAAUGGGUCAGCGACUUAUAUUCUGUAGCAAGGUUAACCGUAUAGGGGAGCCGUAGGGAAACCGAGUCUUAACCGGGCGUUAAGUUGCAGGGUAUAGACCCGAAACCCGGUGAUCUAGCCAUGGGCAGGUUGAAGGUUGGGUAACACUAACUGGAGGACCGAACCGACUAAUGUUGAAAAAUUAGCGGAUGACCUGUGGCUGGGGGUGAAAGGCCAAUCAAACCGGGAGAUAGCUGGUUCUCCCCGAAAGCUAUUUAGGUAGCGCCUCGUGAAUUCAUCUCCGGGGGUAGAGCACUGUUUCGGCUAGGGGGCCAUCCCGGCUUACCAACCCGAUGCAAACUGCGAAUACCGGAGAAUGUUAUCACGGGAGACACACGGCGGGUGCUAACGUCCGUCGUGAAGAGGGAAACAACCCAGACCGCCAGCU
RNAcentral lists this ribosomal RNA (999 nucleotides) under Salmonella enterica. RNAcentral's name for it is "partial 23S ribosomal RNA". It matches the Rfam family "Bacterial large subunit ribosomal RNA", at positions 1 to 1040 of the family's 2925-position model. Lineage: Bacteria; Pseudomonadati; Pseudomonadota; Gammaproteobacteria; Enterobacterales; Enterobacteriaceae. The record is from RNAcentral.